Molecule: long non-coding RNA, 353 nt
Filed under: Homo sapiens (human)
Lineage: Eukaryota; Metazoa; Chordata; Mammalia; Primates; Hominidae
Description: HSALNT0271542
Source: RNAcentral
GAUAGAUGAGAUCUUUCUAUCAAGCAAUCUGAAGAAUGAAUAUAAGAACUCAAGAGUUUUACAAUUUGAAAAUGGCAGCAUUAUAGUCGUAUUUGACCUUUUCUUUGCCCAGUGGGUGUCAGAUGAAAAUGUAAAAGAAGAACUGAUUCAAGGCCUUGAAGCAAAUAAAUCCAGCCAACUGGUCACUUUCCAUAUUGAUUUGAACAGCGUUGAUAUCCUAGGAAAUGUCUCAAUAGAGUGCCUGCCUGGUUCAAGUCCUUGUACUGAUGCUCUAACGUGUAUAAAAGCUGAUUUAUUUUGUGAUGGAGAAGUAAACUGUCCAGAUGGUUCUGACGAAGACAAUAAAAUGUGUG